GCUUACGGCCAUACCACUAAUGCCUGAUUUUGUCUGAUCUCGGAAGGUAAGCAAGGGUCAGGCCUGGUUAGUACUUUGAUGAAAAUAAGCAAAAAGCAAUAGUUCAAAUUU
Molecule: ribosomal RNA, 111 nt
Filed under: Periophthalmus magnuspinnatus
Lineage: Eukaryota; Metazoa; Chordata; Actinopteri; Gobiiformes; Gobiidae
Source: RNAcentral